UACGUAGGGUGCGAGCGUUGUCCGGAUUUAUUGGGCGUAAAGAGCUCGUAGGCGGCUUGUCGCGUCGACUGUGAAAACCCGAGGCUCAACUUCGGGCUUGCAGUCGAUACGGGCAGGCUAGAGUUCGGUAGGGGAGACUGGAAUUCCUGGUGUAGCGGUGAAAUGCGCAGAUAUCAGGAGGAACACCGAUGGCGAAGGCAGGUCUCUGGGCCGAUACUGACGUGAGGAGCGAAAGCGUGGGGAGCGAACAGG
This 252-nucleotide ribosomal RNA is filed under the name uncultured bacterium. RNAcentral's name for it is "partial 16S ribosomal RNA". It matches the Rfam family "Bacterial small subunit ribosomal RNA", at positions 524 to 776 of the family's 1533-position model. The record is from RNAcentral.